This 24-nucleotide non-coding RNA is filed under the name Arabidopsis thaliana (thale cress). The record is from RNAcentral. Lineage: Eukaryota; Viridiplantae; Streptophyta; Magnoliopsida; Brassicales; Brassicaceae.
ACCACUAAAACUUCUUUCCUGUGA